AGGCUCCACACAUUGAUUCUGACCUGCAUAAUGGACUCUGCCUGGGGCACCCAUGUCCAAACCAGCCCAGGCGCCCAAAGCACUGGCACCGGUACGACCCAGAGCGGCUGCAGUGCUCCCAAGUGCCCAGUGCUGGGGAUUGGGGGUGCCACGGCUUGGGAGUGCCACGGCUUGGGAGGCUGCCCAGAGGGCGGAAGGGUCCUCUGCAGAGCUCUGCACGCCUGUCGGCCGACGGGGGCUCUGCACGGCGGACUGAGUCACCGCCGCCUCAUCGGCCGGCAGCGCAGGAAACCCCGUCACCUUCUCGAGGCAAGGACGGUCCUGCCGCCAGCCGUUCCUGCGAUCCCAGGGUCUCUGCAGUUACACCUGGUUCCAGCCGGGGGCGCCGCGCCGCGCCGCUCCUACGGAGGAGCCAGGCGCCCUUCACAGGCGCGGCCCCACCCGCUUUACUAGCCAGGUGUGAGUCACCCCACGUGCGCCCGAACGCGGUCAGGUCCACCCAGGAAGCCGGAGCAGGACUUUGGGCAGCGAGCUCGCUGUGAGUUAGAGAGCAGAGGGACAUCUGUGGCUAAGGAAUUCGCUGCAUGGACGAAGACCCAAGCAAAGCAGAUAGAACCAAAUGGACGCUGUGCUGCUCAGCCCACCCCAGGCAGGGCAGGGAGGACAGACACUAGAGAGGCUCCCGGGAGCUCCCUGGCUGUAACUGAAAUAUCACGUGGGUGAACAAAGGGAGAAAUGUUGCAGCUGUGUUGGCCCUUUACAACAUGCAGCGGAUUCUGCCAGAUCCCACGAACAAUCAUGCUUUCUACAGUAACCAA
Molecule: long non-coding RNA, 818 nt
Organism: Pongo pygmaeus (Bornean orangutan)
Lineage: Eukaryota; Metazoa; Chordata; Mammalia; Primates; Hominidae
Exons: 3
Source: RefSeq, a predicted model, not a curated record